UCCGACACGUGCGAAGGGGCGGCCACC
This 27-nucleotide non-coding RNA is filed under the name Homo sapiens (human). The record is from RNAcentral. Lineage: Eukaryota; Metazoa; Chordata; Mammalia; Primates; Hominidae.